GUGCUUACUUUGGCAGCACAUAUAUUAAAAUAGGAACAAUACAGAGAAAAUUACCAUGGCACCUUACACAAUGUUCCAUAUUUUUUAGUCUCUUUGAUUUCAUUA
This is a small nuclear RNA of Dromiciops gliroides (monito del monte), 105 nucleotides long. The record is from RefSeq and is a predicted model, not a curated record. NCBI's taxonomy places the organism in Eukaryota, Metazoa, Chordata, Mammalia, Microbiotheria, Microbiotheriidae.